RNAcentral lists this ribosomal RNA (253 nucleotides) under uncultured bacterium. RNAcentral's name for it is "partial 16S ribosomal RNA". It matches the Rfam family "Bacterial small subunit ribosomal RNA", at positions 524 to 776 of the family's 1533-position model. The record is from RNAcentral.
UACGUAGGUGGCAAGCGUUGUCCGGAAUUACUGGGCGUAAAGGGCGCGUAGGCGGCCAUCUAAGUCAGACGUGAAAUCCCCCGGCUUAACCUGGGAACUGCGUCUGAUACUGGACGGCUUGAGUAUGGGAGAGGGAUGUAGAAUUCCAGGUGUAGCGGUGAAAUGCGUAGAUAUCUGGAGGAAUACCGGUGGCGAAGGCGGCAUCCUGGACCGGCAUUGACGCUGAGGAGCGAAAGCCAGGGGAGCAAACGGG